Molecule: ribosomal RNA, 445 nt
Filed under: uncultured bacterium
Lineage: Bacteria
Description: partial 16S ribosomal RNA
Rfam family: Bacterial small subunit ribosomal RNA
Source: RNAcentral
GUGAGGAAUAUUGGUCAAUGGGCGAGAGCCUGAACCAGCCAAGUAGCGUGCAGGACGACGGCCCUAUGGGUUGUAAACUGCUUUUACACGGGGAUAAAGUGUGCGACGUGUCGUUCAUUGCAGGUACCGUGCGAAUAAGGACCGGCUAAUUCCGUGCCAGCAGCCGCGGUAAUACGGAAGGUCCGGGCGUUAUCCGGAUUUAUUGGGUUUAAAGGGAGCGUAGGCCGUCUGUUAAGCGUGUUGUGAAAUGUAGAUGCUCAACAUCUGAAUUGCAGCGCGAACUGACCGAUUUGAGUGCGCAGGAAGUAGGCGGAAUUCGUGGUGUAGCGGUGAAAUGCUUAGAUAUCACGAAGAACUCCGAUUGCGAAGGCAGCUUACUGUAGCGCCACUGACGCUGAAGCUCGAAAGUGCGGGUAUCGAACAGGAUUAGAAACCCGGGUAGUCC